CAGUAGCCGCGGGAAUACGGAGGGUGCAAGCGUUAAUCGGAAUUACUGGGCGUAAAGCGCACGCAGGCGGUCUGUCAAGUCAGAUGUGAAAUCCCCGGGCUUAACCUGGGAACUGCAUUUGAAACUGGCAGGCUAGAGUCUUGUAGAGGGGGGUAGAAUUCCAGGUGUAGCGGUGAAAUGCGUAGAGAUCUGGAGGAAUACCGGUGGCGAAGGCGGCCCCCUGGACAAAGACUGACGCUCAGGUGCGAAAGCGUGGGGAGCAAACAGGAUUAGAGACCCCAGUAGACCCUGUCUCUUAUAC
RNAcentral lists this ribosomal RNA (301 nucleotides) under uncultured bacterium. RNAcentral's name for it is "partial 16S ribosomal RNA". It matches the Rfam family "Bacterial small subunit ribosomal RNA", at positions 509 to 807 of the family's 1533-position model. The record is from RNAcentral.